AUGGAGAGAUUGUUUGUCAGUGAGGAGAGCGUUGAUGGAUUUCUAGGCACUGCUUUGUGCCCUUCCCCUUGCUCCCAAUCAGCCCUGGAAAGGCAGCCAUUAAUUGAAGUGCUGGAUGUUACUGAGGACAGAAUUCAAAUCAGGGUGGAGCCACAGGAACGUGAUGGACAAGGAACUCUUGGCAGCUCAGAGGGAGCCCUGGCCGGACAGACCGAGAGCAACUGCCCCGAAACAAAGGCAGAAACAAAGUGUCCUGCAGCCGAGGGAGGUGCUGCGGGCCCCGGAGCGGGAACAAUGGGAGCAGCAGCCGGCUGUGCUUCACCCCAUUGUUCGCAGCCUCAACCUCCGGCCUCCAGCUCUGCCCUUCCCGGCGGGUCUGCGGGAGCCCAGCCCGAUUUAGAAAGUGCUGCUGCAGCAGGAGGCGCGGCCACAGCCCCGGGAGCAGGGGCAGGGGAGCUGCAGGCGGGCGGGGACGGCGCUGGGGGCCCCAUCCUGAGGGAGGUGAACCCCCGGGACGGCAGCGAGCGCAUCCUGCGCGAUCACCGCACACGCUGCCCCCUGCACUUCCACAGCUCCCUGCUCUAUGAGCUGGAUUGAUUUCAUUGUUUUAGCAUUGAAUUCUCUUGUUUGAUGCUUGUUCUGACUCCCACGGGGAUGGGGCUGGGGCAGGGUGCCCCAUCCUGAGAGAGGUGAGCCCUGAGAACGGCAGCGAGCGCAUCCUGCGCGAUCAUCACACGCACUGCCCCCUGCGCUCCCACAGCUCCCUGCUCUGUCAGCUGGAUUGAUUUCAUUGUUUUAGAAUUUCCUUCCUUUUUUUGAUGCUUGUUCUGACUCCCAUGGAGAUGGGCAGGGAGCAGGAUCCCCCAUCCUGAGAGAGGUGAACCCCCAGGACGGCAGCGAGCGCAUCCUGCUUGACAAAUCAUUUUUGUCGCUGCCUUGUGCACUUCCACAGCUCCCUGCUUUAUCAGCUGGACUGAUUUCAUUGUUUUAUAAUUUCCUUCUCUUGUUUGAUGCUUGUUCUGACUCCCAUGGGGAUGGAGAUUGGGCAGGGUCCCCCAUCCUGCAGGAGGUGAGCCCCCAGGACGGCAGCGAGCGCAUCCUCCAUGAUCACCGCACACGCUGCCCCCUGCGCUUCCACAGCUCCCUGCUCUGUCAGCUGGAUUAUUUUCAUUGUUUUAGCAUUUCCUUCUCUUGUUUGAUGCUUAUUCUGACUUCCAUGUCCUGGUGGGUGACACGGAGGCCAUGGGUUCCCACUGAAACUGUUGCAACACCAAAACUUCCCAUUGUUAACAGUUUAUCAAUUCCCCAAUUUGUUGCAAUAAUUUUACUUGUAAGAAAAGUUGCAGUUGGAGGUGAGCUCCUGGGAAAAAAAUGUAUCUUUAUUGUUUACAUAAAUUUUUUAUUCUCUUCCCACGUUUCACGGAUUAUUUGUAUAUAUCCUCAGCCUAAUGGCUCCCUCGGGAAUUGAGCAGUAGUCAUCAUUUUCCAAACCUUUCAUUUUGUGAUAACUGCAGGAUUAGACUCACAGUGAUUCUUAGCAAUCAAAUGAAAUUUCUAAUUACCCGGAGAAGUUCUAAUUAGUCUCCUAGAAAUAAUCAACAUUUAUACCCUGUAUUCCAUCCUAGUGCUGUGCUUCAGAUCUGCAGCACCCAGAUAUCCCCCAGCUGAACAAAUUCCAUUGCACAAGAACAUCCUCUGGGUGCAUGUCUGCUCUGAAGUAUUUACAGCUGCUGAAAUGGAUUCUCUUUAGCCAGAUUAGAUUUAUUUUUCUCAGUUUCCCUCGAGUGUCAGCGUUUCUCACCUCCCUAAAGCAGAAUAACCAGGAGAACACAUCUAAUAAUAAACUUCCUGUUCCCCUUUCUCUCUGCUGCUGA
Molecule: long non-coding RNA, 1874 nt
Organism: Junco hyemalis (dark-eyed junco)
Lineage: Eukaryota; Metazoa; Chordata; Aves; Passeriformes; Passerellidae
Source: Ensembl